This 465-nucleotide ribosomal RNA is filed under the name uncultured Klebsiella sp. RNAcentral's name for it is "bacterial SSU rRNA". It matches the Rfam family "Bacterial small subunit ribosomal RNA", at positions 338 to 795 of the family's 1533-position model. Lineage: Bacteria; Pseudomonadati; Pseudomonadota; Gammaproteobacteria; Enterobacterales; Enterobacteriaceae. The record is from RNAcentral.
CCUACGGGCGGCAGCAGUGGGGAAUAUUGCACAAUGGGCGCAAGCCUGAUGCAGCCAUGCCGCGUGUGUGAAGAAGGCCUUCGGGUUGUAAAGCACUUUCAGCGGGGAGGAAGGCGGUGAGGUUAAUAACCUCAUCGAUUGACGUUACCCGCAGAAGAAGCACCGGCUAACUCCGUGCCAGCAGCCGCGGUAAUACGGAGGGUGCAAGCGUUAAUCGGAAUUACUGGGCGUAAAGCGCACGCAGGCGGUCUGUCAAGUCGGAUGUGAAAUCCCCGGGCUCAACCUGGGAACUGCAUUCGAAACUGGCAGGCUAGAGUCUUGUAGAGGGGGGUAGAAUUCCAGGUGUAGCGGUGAAAUGCGUAGAGAUCUGGAGGAAUACCGCUGGCGAAGGCGGCCCCCUGGACAAAGACUGACGCUCAGGUGCGAAAGCGUGGGGAGCAAACAGGAUUAGAUACCCGAGUAGUC